This 875-nucleotide long non-coding RNA is filed under the name Cavia porcellus (domestic guinea pig). RNAcentral's name for it is "lncRNA (ENSCPOG00000031725.1)". The record is from RNAcentral. Lineage: Eukaryota; Metazoa; Chordata; Mammalia; Rodentia; Caviidae.
CUGACACCCCGGAGCUGUCCCACAGUGAGUGUGCUUGUUUGGCAUUCGGGACGGGUACUGCACAAGAAAAUUGGUUUGUUGCCGCACCAGUGUGCCCUGAGGCCACAUACGGAAGACGGCAGUGUUACCAGGCAGAAGAAGGCUGGAUUUCUGAGCUACCAUUUAGAUAUAAGCUACUCAGUCAGGAACCUGCGAUUCAUAUUUUGCAUGGGCAGAAAACAUACUGGGCUUACACUUAGCCCAUGCCGACUAACGCACUCCCUUACCUUUGUCAAACAUUUCUUAGUCCUUGCUGUUUUCCAAGCACUGUGAUGAAUACGAGAGACACAAAGUCAAAGAAAGCACAGCCCCUGAACUCAAGGAGCUCACGGUACAGAAGAAAUGGAGGCAAAGAAUUCCAGAUCCGUCUCUCAAGGUCUAUGUCAUCAUCUGCGUGUCUGCUGUGUCUGAGGAACCUGGUCUGCAAAGCCUGCUUUGAAAAGACAAGCCUGUGUCCAGGAGGACUGCAGCUCAGCACGGAAAGAUGAGAGCUAUAUGUCCUGGGAAUGACACAGAGCUACUGAAUGUGCCACCUCGCAUACAGGGUAUCUCUAUAUAAAAAUAAACGGCGCAUGCUUACAAUCCCAGCACUCUGGGAAGUGGAGGCAGGAGGAGAUCACAAGUUCAAAUCUAGACUGGGCAACUUGGUGACUUAGUGAGAUCCUGUGUCAAAAUGUUUAAAAGAAAAUUUUCCAAAGGGUAUGCUGCAGUUCAGUGAAAAGACUUUGGGUUUGUACCCCAGUGUCAAAAGAAGUAAAAAAUAAAAGUAAAGUUCUUUUUCUAAGCCACUUUUUUUGGUAUUUUCUCCUAGGACCAUUUGGUAGAUCCUACUGGAU